AAGGUACAGCUCGUGUCGAAGACGACGCUUUCUUGCUUUCUUUGACUCUGGUAUUGAGGCUGAAGGUGUCCGAUCCGAUUCGAGGUCCGGAACACGAGCCCCUGGAACUGACAUGCACCAGAGCGCGGCUGCAGCCUUGCCGGUUGCUACGCAGAUCGCUCGCUACGCUCGAGUGUCCGAGUGGUACUGCGCGCUUCGGGUCAGGUAGCUGCUGGGUGCACCCAGAUAACGCGCAAAACGGGAUCGCUGCACGACAAGCAAAACCGGUUGCUUCCCAGGAACGCUGAACGACUCGGCAAACGAGUCUGGCGUUGGAGGCAGAGCGCGUUGCUCCCGACGAUAUCGUCGUUCGGUUCGUGCUUCGUGCGCCUGGUUCGAGUUCAAAGCAACACGAGUACCCGAUGAUACAAGCAAAGAGACGGAAGGUUCAGUCUUUCAUCAAACGCAGUUUACCUACAGUCCUGAUGAUUGCGUGUUCGCUUACACCGAAACGUAUCCUGAACCAGGGAAAAUGUCUGCUGGCUGGAGUGCUCGACCUCGGGGCGGCCUCUACCAGCAUGCGUCACACGUUGCCGCCCGUGUAUUCCUGCAACCUAAAUAAGGACGAUGACGUAGAUGGUGAUACUUGCGAACCACUCUUAAAAGGCAAGUGAAUCACAGAGGCUUCGUAGAUACCAAGAGCAGUUCGGGCUCUUUCGAGGAAACCGCCGAACGCUACCUGUGCAACAUUUUGUAUGCUACCGGAAACACCGGGGCGACUCGCUUGUCAGCUAUGCAGCCUUUCCGCAGGAAAACGGGUACCGUGGGCCAGCCCUUCGUAGCGUGCGCACCACUUGGACGAUUAUGGUGUUGAUUCCGAAUGUCCGUGUCAGUCGGGUCGCUGUGGUUUCUCGAAUGCUGCAUCUUGCGUCUUGCACGUAUCAGAAAACUAUCCCAGGCGACUUGCCCCAAACAACCAUAGAUUCGUCUUUACCGAGAAAUAUCCCCGGCAUCGGCUGAGCCAGCGAGAGUUCUUGUGAAAGCAACGAGCACUGCUAAUCGUCUUGAGCAACAUGAACCGGUGUUGCAGUUCCAGACAACAUGGUUUGCCCGAACAGAUGCUUCGCAAACAGGUUUCCUCUGAAUUCGAGAUUCUCCGUCUAUGCACCAUUGUAGCCGAUGCUUGAUUAUAACCUUGCAGCUUCGUUGCAUGCCAUGCACUCUGCUCUCUGUGAUUCGUGUUUAUGUACGUACCUUGUCGGUGCUUGAUUCUAAGCUUGCAUCUCCGUCGCAAGCAAGUUCCUUUUGCAUUCUACGAUUCCUGUUUAUGCACUAUUGCAGCCGGUGCGCGGUGAUGCGCUCUGCACCCUUGUCGGAAUGCACUGGGGCAGGUUCCCGAACACUGGUGUACUCGUUGAAAAUUGGGUCUCUUCCACUAUCGAUAACAGCAGCUGCUGCACGCUUUUUCUGUGACUGCAUCCUUUUCGACACCCUGAUCCUCAUUAGACCGGUCUCUGCUCACUCUCGCAGUCCUUUGACAAAAGUCGCCGGACGUUGUUGGCAGUGUUUGCGUCCCGAUUUCAAUGUGUUCGGCUAUUGUCGACAUAAUCCACAUACAGGCGAACGUUGCAAGCUACGCCUCGCUUGUCAUUUUCAUCUUCGAUGCGUAGAGCAUCGGUGCACAGGGCGCAGCGAUGAUUCCUAACGACGAUCAACUGCUCCCGUUCACCCAUCACAAAUUCCUCUUCCCGUUCCAUGUCUUCUGGAGCAUGAACGCUUGUUUCUUCGCUCGGCGCAUGCCGCUGACGCCUACGCAGGGUGCACCUCCGACGCCCAUACCUUCGUUUCCGCGCCCGGCGCCGUACCCUACGAUUCCAGGCCUCGUCUGGGCAAUCCCUCGGGCGGGGACGCUGUCCGCUAGAUGCACAGGCGCACGCUUCUCCACUCGAUACGUAAUUCGUGGAACGGGGUGUUGUCUGUGGAGAAACACGUGCCACAAGGCGAAUCGACGCCGGGGAACAAGGCGCGGAAUUGCGAUCUGUCUACGCUCGCCUCGUGCAAGGCGCAGUCGCACGCUGAAACGGAAGCGAUCACUGUGAUGACUCAACUGCGAAUCAAUGAUCAGUCUGAUGAAGUUGCUGUGGAAUUCUGCUUUGCGAGAUGCGUUGACUAGAAGGCGAUUUGUCUUUUGAACGGAAUCGAUAAUGUGCUGGGAAAAUCCCAAUCAACUUUCGGAUUGAGCUUAUGAACAGGCCAUCAAACGACGACGACGUGUUCUUUGACGCACCCGCCUGUCCAGUAGUGCGACUUGUUGCGCACACGACUUGCCGUGAUAGAUUGAAACGUUGAAGCAUGCGUGAAUCGCGCACGCUACUCCUAAAGCAAGCAGCAGAC
This is an RNA transcript of Cyanidioschyzon merolae strain 10D, 2373 nucleotides long. RefSeq lists it as hypothetical. NCBI's taxonomy places the organism in Eukaryota, Rhodophyta, Bangiophyceae, Cyanidiales, Cyanidiaceae. The record is from RefSeq and is a predicted model, not a curated record. The transcript has a single exon.